UAAUAUACAAAUCAUUUAUUACAUUUUGAAAACAAACCAUCAUUAUCACAUAAAGGUUGAUGAAAUAUUUGUAAACUCCCUGUUACUUAGCUUCAUGUGCAUGUAAAUGGUUCUCUAUGCAAGCAGCCCAAUUGACUGACAACAGUAACUUCUUUCUAAUCACUGAAAAGCCAUGUAAAGUCUUGGGUGGCCUACUUGUUGAAUUUACUUAGUGGAUUUACAGUUUUUGGUCUUAAAACAUGUAAUGGCAAGUGUAAUUCCUUGACUUGGGGCUCCGAACUUUACACAUCACUUUGACCAAAGGCUCACUUGAGUCAAUUUGUCAUGUCAUACAAGGUCAUUACUUGGUAUAUACUUAACAUAUUAACUACUUAAUCAUAUAGAUAAUUUUAACAAAACAGAAAAAGCAAGUUUAUACUUCUUUUUUUUUUAGCACACAACAACAUUAGGCAAAAGAAAAACUAGUUCUCAUUAAAAUCC
This 480-nucleotide long non-coding RNA is filed under the name Amborella trichopoda. RNAcentral describes it as "long non-coding RNA (ATRI_LNC000911)". Lineage: Eukaryota; Viridiplantae; Streptophyta; Magnoliopsida; Amborellales; Amborellaceae. The record is from RNAcentral.